RNAcentral lists this long non-coding RNA (4514 nucleotides) under Fragaria vesca (wild strawberry). RNAcentral describes it as "long non-coding RNA (FVES_LNC005332)". The record is from RNAcentral. Lineage: Eukaryota; Viridiplantae; Streptophyta; Magnoliopsida; Rosales; Rosaceae.
UAUAUAUAUAUAUAUAUAUAUAUAUAUAUAUAUAUAUAUAAACAACAGAACGAAAAAUAGAAGGAAAGGGGUAAAUAAUUGCAGUGCAAGUAGCCAAGUACGUUGGGUUUGGAGCUCAAGUAUAAUCGUCGUCACUAUUAUCGAGAGGUGAGGCGAGAGUACGUACUAUGUAGGUACAUGAACAAGAGGGCAUGGGCAUGUGAGUGCUCAGGGAUUCAAGGGCUCCUUGACCAAUUGGUAAAUGGUGAUUGACUCCCAUGCAUAUGAAUUCAAAGCAAGAUGCAUCAGAAGCCAGUGGCGUCCCACGUGCCAAUGGUCUCCCUGGCCUUUAUUCCCAGGCCCAUAGCAUUACUCUUAAUUCAGCUGCAUGCAGCAGCAAGCAAGCUGCGAUAUUAUUUCUGGGUAAGAUUGAAGCUUUGUAAUUUUGGUAUUCGAACGCGUGCCCUAAAAGACAGUCUCUGCAAUACGUGUCUUUGUGCCAUGCUUUGACCCACGUGGACUCAACCCGCCUCAGAGAGUGAGAAACUAUAUAUGAUGUGCUCAACUUGCCUUGUAUGUUUUGGUUGUUCUGGAUAAUAGUUUGUUGAGGAAUUAGAACUACACGCACCUCUUGAAUUCCUCUAGUUUGUUUCCUCUUUAGAACUACACGCACCUCUUGAAAAUUGCCUAGCCUGAAUUGAUCUCUGAGAUCAUGCACGACAUCACCAUGAGGUCGCAAGGGCUUUGGUCAUGCUUUUGACUGCGUACAGCGAACUUCGUCUAAAGACUUGUACAUUUGGACAAGGAAUUUCAAAACUUGAUGGAAAGGGCCGGGGUUUCCAAUUUCUUGCAAUAUAUACUAAAUCUCAUCUAGUACCAUGUAAUGUUGGACUUGAUGCUAUCCUCUUGACACAAACUAACAAUUGGUUGUUUCUUCGUGGUACGUAGAGAAACUACUAUGGUAUAUGCUAAUUAAGAGACUCGUAGAGAAACUAGGUCACUAGCUAGUUAUAAGCUAAUUAAGCUGGCAUGGCCAUGAACUUUAUAUGUAUAAGUCAUUUCUACCAAUUUCUAAUCAGCAUUACACUAUCAUGCCAAUUAGUUACACUUUGUGUUAAUAGUAAUCGUCAAAACGUCGAUCAAUACCUAUGAAUUGAAGGUGUGAUAGUGCACCUCUUCCUUCCCUAGCUAGGGCAAAAUCCAAACAGACGCCCUUGGGUACGUCACUACCAAGACAAGCACUUUAGCCGAUCGAUGAAAAAGUUUCGUCGGCCUGUUAGCUUAAUUCGUCGGCUAAGAUCUCGUCGGCUAAGAUUUCGUCGGGAAAAGGUCGUUGGCGAUUUAUUUAGCCGACGAAACAAGAAGACGUUAUCGGUUAUAGUCCCAGAGUUUAACCGACGAAAAACAUGUCGUCGGUUUUUUUCCCAGACUUUAGCCGACGAAACAUUUAAGAUAUUCGUCGGCUAAAGUGUGUAAUAAAAAAUUAAAAAAAUAACUAAAGCCGACGAAAUAUAGUCUGUUUCGUCGGCUUUAGAAGGGUUUAGCCAACGAAACGUGCUAUAAUUCGUCGGCUAAAGCUUAUUAAAAAAAUUUAAAAAUACUAUAGCCGACGAAUAUCUUCGGCUAAAGUAUUUAAAUAUCGUUGGCUAAAGUUGCUGGUUUUUGAAAAAAAAAAAAACUGCAGAAACUUUCGGCCACCUCCAAUCACAACCAAAAUUUGACAGAAUCUUCCUCUCAACAUUUCAAACAACUUUCUACAAGAAGUCGAAGCCCAAUUCUAAGCCUAAACAGGUCAAUUGAAUCAAAAUAUAAAAAUCCUCAAUUUUAAACCCUAAAAACUUCAAAUCUUCGAUUCUCCUCACACACACCGAGUCAAGCUACCAAAUUCUAGGGGAAUGUAGUACUAAUCAAACUCAACUUAUCCAUAUAUAUAUAUAGAACUCACCAAAUGGUGACCUGAGUAAGGAGAAAUUCGAUCGACACCAAAUCCGAACCGGCGGAGUUUUGGAGCUCGAUUUAUCCCUCACGGCGGUGCCACUCGAUGCACCACCUAUCCAGCAAUGAAGUAGAGACGACGGCGAAGCUUUUGGGACAAGUGUGGCGGUCUCCGGUGGCUUGAUGGCAAAGCUAGGCUGAGAAGAAAAUCCUGACUUCUUACCAUCCACCUCUUGUAAAACUUUUAUAUAAAGAACUUUACCCGACGAAAUUCUUUAUUUUCGUCGGCUAAACUCUUUUGAAAAUUUUGGUUGACCGCCAAAAAAAUUUCGACAAUAGCCAACGAAAUCAUAUAUUUUCGUCAGUUUAAAUCCUUUGAAAAUUUUGAAAAUUUUCCCCCAAAUUUGGUUUGCCGCCAAACUUUAGCCGACGACUUUUCAUAUAUUUUUGUCGGCUAAAGUCCUUUGAAAAUUUUCCUCCAAAUUUGGUUUACCGCUAAAAAAAUUUUGACCUUAGCCGACGACUUUUUUAAUAUCUUGUCGGCUAAAGUCUAUAAAUUUACGAAAACGCUCAUAUCUCCCUCUAUAUUACGUAGUUUGGUUAAACCUUCCACACGAAAAACUUUCACGUAGAUAAGACGCAAUCGCCUAUAUAAAAAUUUUGAGACAUUUACCUUCCGACGAUAGAGCUCCCCAUAGGGAAUAAUAACGGUAAAUAAGGUUGACCGCUACUGUCGGCACCGAGACGUUACCCGAUUUACUUGAUUUUUGAACCAUAGCCAUAUUUCACCAUUCUGAACACAUCUUAUUUCACGAGAUUUUUGAUAAUUUUACUUCUUAUGUAGAGUUGGUUCAUAAAGUUGUAUAACCUACUAAACAAGUUAUAUAACAUUAGUAGACACGUUGUGAUUCCGAUGACUAAAAUUUACAAACCAUAAUUCGACCGUCAGAUAUGAUCAUUAUGACGAAAGAUGUCUAUGGUAAAAAAUUCAACUGGAUCCGACAACGUUAAGGGCUUGAUCGAAACGGUCAACCCUAAUCCAUCGUCACUUAUCACACGAAAAUGCUCAUAUCUCCCUCUAUAUUACAUAGUUUGGUCAAACCUUCCACAUGAAAAACUCUCACGUAGAUGAGAUGCAACUGCCCAUAUAAAAAUUUUGAGACAUUUACCUUCUGACGAUAGGGCUCCCCAUAGGGAAUAAUAACAGUAAAUAGGGUUGACCGCUACUAUCGGCACCGAGACGUUACCCGGUUUACGUGAUUUUUGAACUAUAGCCAUAUUUCACCAUUCUGAACACAUCUUAUUUCACAAGAUUCUUGAUAAUUUUGCCUCCUAUGUAGAGUAAACCUACUAAACAAGUUAUACAACAUUAGUAGACACGUUGUGAUUCCGAUGACUAAAAUUCACAAACCAAAAUUCGACCUUCAGAUAUGAUCAUUAUGACGAAAGAUGUCUGUGGUAAAAAAUUCAACUGGAUUCGACAAUGUUAAGGGCUCGAUCGAAACAGUCAACUCUAAUCGGAAAUAAGAAAACUGCCUUUUGAAGCCCUAAACGGACUCGGAUGGCCAAAAAGGCUUAUAUGUCAUGGCCAAGCUAUGAGUUUGACUCGUAGGGCCGUUACGCUUCCGGAAAAGUAUCACAAUAGUCAAUCGGACACCGAACGCCAAAUCUGCAACAUAUCGGGUUUCGACUGUUCUACAUCAGAGACGUUAGCCGAUUUACGUGAUUUUUGAACCAUACCCAUAUUUCUCCAUUCUGAACACAUCUUAUUUCACGAGAUUUUUAUUAAUUUUGCUUCUAUGUAGAGUUGGUUCACAAAGUUGUGUAUUUGUUUAAAACCUACUAAGCAAGUUAUACAACAUUUAUUGUUUUUCUUUUAGCCGACGACUUUUUUCGAUAAUAGCCGACGAGAUUUUUUUUCGUCUACUAAAAUACUUUAGCCGACGAGUAAAAACUUUGGUCGACGAAAAAAAAUUUGGUCGGCUAAAGUAUAGUAUAGCCGACAAAAAAAUUUCUUCAGCCGACGAAGGAAAAUUUCGUCGGCUAACGUAGAGUUUAGCCGACGAAAAAAUAAUUCGUCGGCCUGAUUUUUUUAUUUUCGUCGGCUAAAACAUUUCUUCUGGUAGUGUGCAUUAGUUAGUCACGACACACAUGACUGACACGUGGAAAUUAAUAUUCAGUCUAUCUCGUUUUGUUUGAUGGAAUCUUUUCCAAUUACACUGUUGGUGUCUUACCAGAGUGAAGCCACAUUGAUCGUUCGGGAUUCUUAACGUGGGAGCGCAGCUAUGUUUGAUUGUCUGUUGUCGUGUGCUUGGAAUCUGAUGAUACUGUAGGGAAAAAUGGACGUAAUGAGAAUAGAACAAUGCAUGGAUCCCUAGCUAUCUUCAUCAAGAAGAAAAAUAUAGGAUUCUCUAGCCUAGCUUGUAUAGUCGACGAGAAUAAGCGAUAUUGUCUAGCUCUAUCGGCCUCUUGAUUCGUUUGUUCUUGUUUAAAGUAGGUCUGCAUUUCUCACGAAGAUCGUAGCAGGUGGAUCAAGGUGUUCAGUUAACUUCGUAAGUACGUAACUAGCAGCCAGCUAGUGUCCAGUUUAGCUGGAAUCG